RNAcentral lists this unclassified non-coding RNA (283 nucleotides) under plant metagenome. Its description in RNAcentral is "partial contains small subunit ribosomal RNA, internal transcribed spacer 1, and 5.8S ribosomal RNA". The stretch from base 1 to 52 matches the Rfam family "Eukaryotic small subunit ribosomal RNA", at positions 1779 to 1831 of the family's 1831-position model. The record is from RNAcentral.
GGAAUAAAAGUCGUACAAGGUUUCCGUAGGUGAACCUGCGGAAGGAUCAUUAUUGUAUAACCGAGGUGCGAGGGCUGUCGCUGACCCGAAAGGUCGUGCACGCCCGAGUGCCCUCACACACAUCCAUCUCACCCCUAUGUGCACCACCGCGUGGGUCCCCCUUUGGCUUGUUCGGAGGGGGGCUUACGUUUUCACACAAACUUUGUAUGCAGUGUAGAAUGUAUUUUUUGUUUUUGCGAUCACGCAAUCAAUACAACUUUCAACAACGGAUCUCUUGGCUCUC